RNAcentral lists this ribosomal RNA (210 nucleotides) under Triticum aestivum (bread wheat). Its description in RNAcentral is "partial small subunit ribosomal RNA". The record is from RNAcentral. Lineage: Eukaryota; Viridiplantae; Streptophyta; Magnoliopsida; Poales; Poaceae.
UGGAGAAACAAAAAAUCUCUCAUUUCCGACGUGAAUAGAUUUUUUUUAUUCGAAAUAAAGGUUCUUGUCUUGUGGGAAACGAUGCACACAUUUUUUGAAUCCGGUACCAACAGGUAUAAUCCCCACAUAACUACGUUUUCUUUCAAGCCUUUCAACCAAUCAAUGCGACCUAGUAGGACAGCUUUUGCUAAAACUCGAGCAAUUUCUUGA